Molecule: small nucleolar RNA, 138 nt
Organism: Tachyglossus aculeatus (Australian echidna)
Lineage: Eukaryota; Metazoa; Chordata; Mammalia; Monotremata; Tachyglossidae
Source: RefSeq, a predicted model, not a curated record
CCCCUCUCAGAGUCGCAUCUGGAAAGUUUCUAGUACUCUACCAGUCUCAAAUAUGGGAGGCAGAGUCAAGCAGAAGCAUACCCAUUCCAUUCUUGGCUUGGCCAGUUGCUAGUGAGUGGAAGGCAAUCUGCUACAAGU